UCCUGAGGGGGAAAGCAGUGAUGCGCCCAUGGAGCGGCCUGCGUCCGAUUAGCUUGUUGGUGGGGUAAAGGCUUACCAAGGCGACGAUCGGUAGCUGGUCUGAGAGGAUGAUCAGCCACACUGGGACUGAGACACGGCCCAGACUCCUACGGGAGGCAGCAGUGGGGAAUAUUGGACAAUGGGCGCAAGCCUGAUCCAGCAAUUCCGCGUGGGUGAAGAAGGUCUUCGGAUUGUAAAGCCCUUUCGACAGGGACGAUGAUGACGGUACCUGUAGAAGAAGCCCCGGCUAACUUCGUGCCAGCAGCCGCGGUAAUACGAAGGGGGCUAGCGUUGCUCGGAAUGACUGGGCGUAAAGGGCGCGUAGGCGGCACACACAGUCAGGCGUGAAAUUCCCGGGCUUAACCUGGGGACUGCGCUUGAUACAUGUGAGCUAGAGGAUGGAAGAGGCUCGUGGAAUUCCCAGUGUAGAGGUGAAAUUCGUAGAUAUUGGGAAGAACACCGGUGGCGAAGGCGGCGAGCUGGUCCAUUACUGACGCUGAGGCGCGAAAGCGUGGGGAGCGAACAGGAUUAGAUACCCU
This 578-nucleotide ribosomal RNA is filed under the name uncultured bacterium. Its description in RNAcentral is "bacterial SSU rRNA". It matches the Rfam family "Bacterial small subunit ribosomal RNA", at positions 192 to 788 of the family's 1533-position model. The record is from RNAcentral.